RNAcentral lists this ribosomal RNA (406 nucleotides) under uncultured bacterium. RNAcentral's name for it is "partial 16S ribosomal RNA". It matches the Rfam family "Bacterial small subunit ribosomal RNA", at positions 28 to 526 of the family's 1533-position model. The record is from RNAcentral.
GAUGAACGCUGACAGAAUGCUUAACACAUCAGCGACGGAUUGGUGGCGGUCGGAUGAGUAACGCGUAAAGAACUUGCUUCACAGGCAGGGACAACAUGUGGAAACGAAUGUUAAUACCAAAUAAUGUGAGAGAGCUUUGCGUCCCAUUAGCUAGUUGGAGAGGUAACGGCUCACCAAGGCGAUGUUGGGUAGCCGGCCUGGGAGGGUGAGCGGCCACAAGUGGACGGAUACACGGCCCUGACUCAUACGGGAGGCUGCAGUGGGGAAUAUUGGACAAUGGACCAAAGUCUGAUCCAGCAAUUCGGUGUGCACGAUGAAGUUUUCGGAAUGUAAAGUGCUUUCAGUUGGGAAGCGGUACCAACAGAAGAAGUGACGGCUAAAUACGUGCCAGCAGCCGCGGUAAUAC